CCUACGGGAGGCAGCAGUGGGGAAUAUUGGGCAAUGGGCGCAAGCCUGACGCAGCAACGCCGCGUGAAGGAAGAAGGCUUUCGGGUUGUAAACCUCUAUUCUGAGGGACGAAGAUAGCGAUGGUACCUCAGGAAUCAGCCACGGCAAACUUCGGGGCAGCAGCCGCGGUACUCCGAAGGGGGGAAGCUUACUCCGGUUCUCUGGGUGGAAAGGGCGUGUAGGCGGGAAAGCAAGUCAGAUGUGAAAACUGAGGGCUCAACCCUGAGCCUGCUUUUGAAACUGUUUCUCUUGAGUGCUGGAGAGGCAAGCGGAAUUCCGUGUGUAGCGGUGAAAUGCGUAGAUAUUCGGAGGAACACCAGUGGCGAAGGCGGAUUACUGGACAGUAACUGACGCUGAGGCGCGAAAGCGUGGGGAGCAAACAGGAUUAGAUACCCGGGUAGUC
Molecule: ribosomal RNA, 442 nt
Filed under: uncultured bacterium
Lineage: Bacteria
Description: partial 16S ribosomal RNA
Rfam family: Bacterial small subunit ribosomal RNA
Source: RNAcentral